GCUGGUAACGAUGUCGACCGGCGAUCCGCUAUCGUUACUGAAUGGCUUAGCGGGCAGCCUCGGGGAAAACAGAGUGUUUGGAUUCCUGGGGGAGUACGGACUGCAAAGCUGAAACUUAAAGGAAUUGACGGAAGGGCACCACCAGGAGUGGAGCCUGCGGCUUAAUUUGACUCAACACGGGAAAUCUCACCAGGCCCAGACACCGGAAGGAUUGACAGAUUGAGAGCUCUUUCUUGAUUCGGUGGGUGGUGGUGCAUGGCCGUUCUUAGUUGGUGGAGCGAUUUGUCUGGUUAAUUCCGAUAACGAACGAGACUCUGGCCUACUAAAUAGACGUUAGAUCCCCUUGUGGGUCUAUCGCAGCUUCUUAGAGGGGCGGGCGGCGUUCAGCCGCACGAGAUUGAGCAAUAACAGGUCUGUGAUGCCCUUAGAUGUUCUGGGCUGCACGCGCGCUACACUGAAGUGAUCAGCGUGCAAUUUACGUUUGGUGAUCUGUCAAGAUUGCCCAACCCGUUGAACCUUCUUCGUGAUUGGGAUAGGGGAUUGUAAUUAUUCCCCUUGAACGAGGAAUUCCCAGUAAGCGCAAGUCAUAAGCUUGCGUUGAUUACGUCCCUGCCCUUUGUACACACCGCCCGUCGCUACUACUGAUUGAAUGAAUUAGUGAGGUCUUCGGACUGGCCUGUGCUGGCUGUUUCGGCAGCUGCACAUGGCUCGGGAAGAUGCCCAAACUUGUUCAUUUAGAAGAAGUAAAAGUCGUAACAAGGUUUUCGUAGUGAACCUGCGGAAGGAUC
This 788-nucleotide ribosomal RNA is filed under the name uncultured eukaryote. Its description in RNAcentral is "bacterial SSU rRNA". It matches the Rfam family "Eukaryotic small subunit ribosomal RNA", at positions 1029 to 1827 of the family's 1831-position model. The record is from RNAcentral.